AGAGGGGCGGAAACAGGCAUUAAAGGAAGCUACACCUCAUUCAGUGUUGGCUGGGAAGGACAAAUGAAAGUGGAAACUAGUCUUUUUUCAUUCUAUAUUUCAAACUACAAAACAUGGCUGAAGACUGAGUGUCACUGGAGCUGCAGGUGGAAGUUCUGAGCCAUCUAUUAAAGUAAGGUUAAAAAAGGAGUCAUCAAGGUCUACGUUUUACAAAAGAUUAUGAAAAAACAUUUGUAAGCUGUUACUCUACUUCCAGUAUAAAGACUCUAUUUAGAGAAACAUUAACUAGGAAAUAAUUUAUAAAAGAUAAGAAAAUACUGCCCAAUAGACACCUUCUACCUUUGGACCCUGAACAAGGCUAAGAGGCUAACAUGUUCAAGUCAACCAUUCAAACUAAAAGCCUCAGGAAUGGGGGUAUUUUCAGCUCCAAAUGUGUCCUUGCUGAGGAAUGAAGUCUUUCAUUUUCACUACCACAAAAGAAAGACAAAGAUGAAGCCCUAACAAGCCUUGGCAACUAAAUGCCUGAGCUGAUGAGCAGACAGAAUCAGACCAUCAUGUUCUGGAGAAGGCUUCGUUGAACAUCAAGUAAAGAGACAAACAGCAACAAUAAAAAAAAACAACAACUUUACACUCAUCCAUCUCUUUGCUCAUUUAGCAGUUAGUUUUUAGGUACCUCCUGACAGCUUUUGGAGUCAGUAGGAAUGGCUUAUUCCUGAAAAAUCCACACGAAUGUUCCAACAACCACAAAAUAAAAGCAAAAUCUUGUGUCCUUAA
Long non-coding RNA from Oreochromis niloticus (Nile tilapia), 774 nucleotides. RefSeq lists it as uncharacterized. The transcript has 2 exons. Lineage: Eukaryota; Metazoa; Chordata; Actinopteri; Cichliformes; Cichlidae. The record is from RefSeq and is a predicted model, not a curated record.